This 372-nucleotide ribosomal RNA is filed under the name uncultured organism. Its description in RNAcentral is "bacterial SSU rRNA". It matches the Rfam family "Bacterial small subunit ribosomal RNA", at positions 526 to 896 of the family's 1533-position model. The record is from RNAcentral.
CAGAGGGGGCAAGCGUUGUUCGGAAUUACUGGGCGUAAAGGGCGCGUAGGCGGCCUGCUAAGUCGAACGUGAAAUCCCUGGGCUCAACCCAGGAACUGCGUCCGAUACUGGUUGGCUUGAAUCCGGGAGAGGGAUGCGGAAUUCCAGGUGUAGCGGUGAAAUGCGUAGAUAUCUGGAGGAACACCGGUGGCGAAGGCGGCAUCCUGGACCGGCAUUGACGCUGAGGCGCGAAAGCCAGGGGAGCAAACGGGAUUAGAUACCCCGGUAGUCCUGGCCCUAAACGAUGAAUGCUUGGUGUGGCGGGUAUCGAUCCCUGCCGUGCCGAAGCUAACGCAUUAAGCAUUCCGCCUGGGGAGUACGGUCGCAAGGCUG